This 497-nucleotide ribosomal RNA is filed under the name uncultured bacterium. Its description in RNAcentral is "partial 16S ribosomal RNA". It matches the Rfam family "Bacterial small subunit ribosomal RNA", at positions 28 to 507 of the family's 1533-position model. The record is from RNAcentral.
GAUGAACGCUGGCGGCGUGCCUAAUACAUGCAAGUCGAGCGAACAGACGAGGAGCUUGCUCCUCUGACGUUAGCGGCGGACGGGUGAGUAACACUUGGAUAACCUACCUAUAAGACUGGGAUAACUUCGGGAAACCGGAGCUAAUACCGGAUAAUAUAUUGAACCGCAUGGUUCAAUAGUGAAAGACGGUUUUGCUGUCACUUAUAGAUGGAUCCGCGCCGCAUUAGCUAGUUGGUAAGGUAACGGCUGACCAAGGCAACGAUGCGUAGCCGACCUGAGAGGGUGAUCGGCCACACUGGAACUGAGACACGGUCCAGACUCCUACGGGAGGCAGCAGUAGGGAAUCUUCCGCAAUGGGCGAAAGCCUGACGGAGCAACGCCGCGUGAGUGAUGAAGGUCUUCGGAUCGUAAAACUCUGUUAUUAGGGAAGAACAAAUGUGUAAGUAACUAUGCACGUCUUGCCGGUACCUAAUCAGAAAGCCACGGCUAACUACGUG